RNAcentral lists this ribosomal RNA (80 nucleotides) under Alphaproteobacteria bacterium. RNAcentral's name for it is "partial 16S ribosomal RNA". It matches the Rfam family "Bacterial small subunit ribosomal RNA", at positions 1454 to 1533 of the family's 1533-position model. Lineage: Bacteria; Pseudomonadati; Pseudomonadota; Alphaproteobacteria. The record is from RNAcentral.
CGACCACGGUAGGGUCAGCGACUGGGGUGAAGUCGUAACAAGGUAGCCGUAGGGGAACCUGCGGCUGGAUCACCUCCUUU